GAGGAAUAAGCAUCGGCUAACUCCGUGCCAGCAGCCGCGGUAAUACGGGGGAUGCAAGCGUUAUCCGGAAUCAUUGGGCGUAAAGCGCCUGUAGGUUGUUUAAUAAGUCUGUUGUUAAAGACUAGGGCUUAACCCUAGAAAAGCAAUGGAAACUACUAGACUAGAGUAUGGCAGGGGUAGAGGGAAUUUCUAGUGUAGCGGUGAAAUGCGUAGAUAUUAGAAAGAACACCGGUGGCGAAAGCGCUCUACUGGACCAUUACUGACACUCAGAGGCGAAAGCUAGGGUAGCAAAAGGGAUUAGAUACCCCUGUAGUCCUAGCCGUAAACGAUGGAUACUACAUGUUGUGUUUAUUUCACAGUAUGGUAGCUAACGCGUUAAGUAUCCCGCCUGGGGAGUACGCUCGCAAGGGUGAAACUCAAAGGAAUUGACGGGGGCCCGCACAAGCGGUGGAGCAUGUGGUUUAAUUCGAUGCAACGCGAAGAACCUUACCAGGGCUUGACAUACUGCGAAUCUUUCCGAAAGGAAGGAGUGCCUUCGGGAAUGCAGAUACAGGUGGUGCAUGGCUGUCGUCAGCUCGUGUCGUGAGAUGUUGGGUUAAGUCCCGCAACGAGCGCAACCCUUGUUUUUAGUUACCAAUUCGUUGGGUUUUCUAGAAAGACUGCCGGUGACAAACCGGAGGAAGGUGAGGAUGACGUCAAGUCAGCAUGCCCCUUAUGUCCUGGGCUACACACGUGCUACAAUGGUUAGGACAAAGAGUUGCGAGCUUGUGAAAGUCAGCUAAUCUCAUAAACCUAGCCCAAGUUCAGAUUGUAGGCUGCAACUCGCAAAGGGAUGAAG
This 838-nucleotide ribosomal RNA is filed under the name Haptophyta environmental samples. Its description in RNAcentral is "bacterial SSU rRNA". It matches the Rfam family "Bacterial small subunit ribosomal RNA", at positions 481 to 1331 of the family's 1533-position model. The record is from RNAcentral. Lineage: Eukaryota; Haptophyta.